This 221-nucleotide ribosomal RNA is filed under the name uncultured bacterium. RNAcentral describes it as "partial 16S ribosomal RNA". It matches the Rfam family "Bacterial small subunit ribosomal RNA", at positions 524 to 746 of the family's 1533-position model. The record is from RNAcentral.
UACGAAGGGGGCUAGCGUUGCUCGGAAUCACUGGGCGUAAAGGUGCGUAGGCGGGUCUUUAAGUCAGGGUGAAAUCCUGGAGCUCAACUCCAGAACUGCCUUUGAUACUGAAGAUCUUGAGUUCGGGAGAGGUGAGUGGAACUGCGAGUGUAGAGGUGAAAUUCGUAGAUAUUCGCAAGAACACCAGUGGCGAAGGCGGCUCACUGGCCCGAUACUGACGC